CUUUAUCAUGGAUUGUACUGAUACGACAAGAAGUAAUUGCUUUAAACUAACAGAGAGAUUUAGAUUAGAUAUGAGGAAGAAAUUAUGUACUCUGAGGGUGGUGAUGCCCUGGAACAGGUUGCCCAGAGAAGCUGUGAAUGCCCUGUCCCUGGAGGUGUUCAAGGCCAGGUUGGAUGGGGAUUUGAGCAACCUGGUCUAGCAGAAGGUGUCUCUUCCCAUGGUAGGGGAUUUGGAACUAGAUGAUCUUUAAGGUCCCUUCCAACCCAAACCAUUAUUUGAUUCUAUGAUUCUAAAGCAGCUUGUCAGGAAUACAUUUAAUUUGGAUAUUGAAAGUAUGUCUGACCAACAAGAUCAUAAAAUUUUGAUGGGUUUUGUAAAUGGAAAUAUUGAAUUCAGUCAGGUGGUCGUUGCAGCUGAUAAUCUAGAAAGCCUCGUUUCUACAUUCUUACACCACCCAAUGUCUUAGCAAUUACAUCUGAUUAAUUUAGAUAAAAUGUUUUUUUUUUUUUUUUCCCUGAAUUUGUGCUUAAUGAAAUAUCCUAAAUUUAAAUUAUUGCUUACACAAACUCAAUUUGUCUUUGCAGAGUAUGGAGAAAAAAAUGUUCUAGAAUCUCUGGAGUCAGAUUACUUCAAAAACCAAACUGAAUUGAAACCAACAAAUAAACAAACAAACCAACAGGGAGAUGAAGCUUUAGAAGCCCUUAUAUAAAUGUUUCAGGACAUCAAGAACACCUUGCUAAAUGAAUUUUCUAUGCAUAAGCAGCAUACUCAUUUUUCAUACCUCAAUAUUUAAUUACCAUGUGAUAAUAAUACAAACCGUGAGAGAGGAUAGCAGUACUUUCCACAAGACAACAACAGCUUUUUUCAUUAAAAAUAAAAUGUCCUUUCUGCACA
RNAcentral lists this long non-coding RNA (894 nucleotides) under Anser brachyrhynchus (Pink-footed goose). RNAcentral's name for it is "lncRNA (ENSABRG00000018073.1)". The record is from RNAcentral. Lineage: Eukaryota; Metazoa; Chordata; Aves; Anseriformes; Anatidae.